This 253-nucleotide long non-coding RNA is filed under the name Solanum tuberosum (potato). RNAcentral's name for it is "long non-coding RNA (STUB_LNC001901)". Lineage: Eukaryota; Viridiplantae; Streptophyta; Magnoliopsida; Solanales; Solanaceae. The record is from RNAcentral.
AAAUUGACUCAGCAUUUCUAUACAUUUGUUCAAAACUCUCGACUUUCUUCUGUUGCAUUUCAGCAUCACCAAUGGUAAAAGACUCAACUAACACAUCCAUCAUUUUGAAACUUUACUUUCGUAACAGUUUUGUAAAAUUAUUUGCUUCUUUCUCUGUUAUUUGGCAACACUUAUUGUAACAGUUACAUUGUUAUUGUUGUUUUAUUACAGAUCGACUCCUUCCGCUUCUCAGGUAGUCGAACUACGGGUGGAC